Molecule: ribosomal RNA, 253 nt
Filed under: uncultured bacterium
Lineage: Bacteria
Description: partial 16S ribosomal RNA
Rfam family: Bacterial small subunit ribosomal RNA
Source: RNAcentral
UACGUAGGGUGCAAGCGUUAAUCGGAAUUACUGGGCGUAAAGCGUGCGCAGGCGGUUUUGCAAGACAGAUGUGAAAUCCCCGGGCUUAACCUGGGAACUGCAUUUGUGACUGCAAGGCUAGAGUGUGUCAGAGGGGGGUGGAAUUCCGCGUGUAGCAGUGAAAUGCGUAGAGAUGCGGAGGAACACCGAUGGCGAAGGCGGUUAGCUGGGCAGUUGCUGACACUGAGGCGCGACAGCGUGGGGAGCAAACAGG